AAGUAGGCCUGGGCAUAAUACCC
This 23-nucleotide non-coding RNA is filed under the name Arabidopsis thaliana (thale cress). The record is from RNAcentral. Lineage: Eukaryota; Viridiplantae; Streptophyta; Magnoliopsida; Brassicales; Brassicaceae.